UUUGGUUUGCAUUAUUCACUCAACUCAUAACGAGUUGUAUGAAAAUGGCAAAACUUUUGUAUGCCAUCCUCCUCCUCCUUUUGGUUGUUGCUAUCUCAGAAAGUGAAGCCACCAUCACCAUCGGACCUCCAACAAGACUAUGUGAAAGGUUGAGUAACACAUUUUCGGAGAGAAUAUGCAUCAUCGGAAGCAACUGUAACGCAAGGUGUUUAGAGGAAAGAGCGGUUAGUGGCGCUUGUCGCUUGCGUCAAGGGAGAUUAAGUUGCGUUUGCUUCUUUAACUGUUCCAACACACCACCUCCUCCUUCACCACCGGCCUCACCGCCGCCCCCUCCUCCACCCGUAUCACCACCCGCUCCUCCACCCGCCUCACCGCCCCCACCUCCACCUGUGUCACCGCCUCCUCCACCACCCGUCUCGCCGCCCCCACCUCCACCUGUGUCACCACCUCCUCCACCACCCGUCUCGCCGCCCCCACCUCCACCAAGCUCACCGCCUCCUCCACCACCAAGCUCACCACCACCACCUCCACCCGCCUCGCCGCCCCCUCCACCACCACCUGCCUCAC
Molecule: long non-coding RNA, 567 nt
Filed under: Helianthus annuus (common sunflower)
Lineage: Eukaryota; Viridiplantae; Streptophyta; Magnoliopsida; Asterales; Asteraceae
Description: sRNA HanXRQr2_Chr04g0191371
Source: RNAcentral